Molecule: ribosomal RNA, 492 nt
Filed under: uncultured bacterium
Lineage: Bacteria
Description: partial 16S ribosomal RNA
Rfam family: Bacterial small subunit ribosomal RNA
Source: RNAcentral
AUUGAACGCUGGCGGUAGGCCUAACACAUGCAAGUCGAACGGCAGCACAGUAAUAGCUUGCGCUUACGGGUGGCGAGUGGCGGACGAGGGAUGAAUACAUCGGAGUCUACUUUUUCGUGCGUGCUAACGUAGGGAAACUUACGCUAAUACCGCAGACGGCCUACGGGUGAGAGCAUCGGAUCUUCGGACCUUACGCGAUUGUAUGAGCCGAGGUCGGAUUAGCUAGUUGGCGGGGUAAAGGCCCACCAAGGCGACGAUCCGUAGCUGGUCUGAGAGGAUGAUCAGCCACACUGGAACUGAGACACGGUCCAGACUCCUACGGGAGGCAGCAGUGGGGAAUAUUGGACAAUGGGCGCAAGCCUGGUCCAGCCAUACCGCGUGGGUGAAGAAGGUCUUCGGGUUGUAAAGCCCUUUUGUUGGGAAAGAAAAGCAGCAGGUUAAUACCCCGCUGUUCUGACGGUACCCAAAGAAUAAGCACCGGCUAACUUCGUG